AGAAAAGUACUUGCAAAUAACAACCUGAAAUCAUGUUUCAUGCAUCACCAUUUGGAAAUUAAACUCUACAAUGAUUAAACAAAGAAACGAAGAGAACUUUAAAAAUGCAAAAUGCAAGAAUUCCAAACAUAAGUUUGAAAAGAAACUCUGACUAAUUGAUGAUGUUGCACAAUCUACCUUUCAAAAUACAUUCAAUCUCCAAACCAAGCAUGGUAUACUUUUUUUUAAUUGAUGUUUAUAAAUCAGGCUUUGAAAUGUAUUUAAAAGUAUACAGUGCUUAUCAAUACAAAAUCUUUAAAUCUGUUAUUAUUUUAAAAUGAAUUUUAACAUAUAAUAUUUAGUAAUAUACCAAUCUAAAAUAAAAUAUAGAUCACGUAAAAUUCUUGCUUUUAAUAGUAAUAUGCAUCAGUAAAACAUAAAAUGGGUCCUCUCAAGACAGACCGGUGAGCAGACACAGAAUACUGUGAGAUCAUUCGCUAGGAGACAGUGCAGUUGCUUGGAUAACAAGUGGAUGACACAUGGAACUCGGGAGCACUAGUUAUGGAGUCGGUGUCAGUCCAGAUAGAAUGUCAACCUGCUCCUGCCGUGUGAAGGCUGGGUGCCAGCUCCUGCCCUCCACAGAGCUAUAAUAUAUUAAUAAUAGGAAUGGCAACAAAAUGUGUGUUCAUCAUCUCAGGGCACACAAGACAAUAGGUCUCAGUGCAGAUCUCGCAGCAUCUCUUCUUCGGUCUUCCUUGGGGAGCUUCUCAAAGCACAGCCCUAUCCCUCUCAUCAACCACCACGAAGGAUUCGCCGACUGGGCUGUUUUCUCUGCAACUUCCACAACGAAGAGGGGAGCCCCUUACCUUGCCCUGGAAUAUUCUUUCUGAGGAUUUCUGAGAGGUAAAGCAGCCACUGAUGGCAGCGUCCAGAGGAUAACAGCACCGUCAAAGAGGAAGCAGGGCGACAGCUUGCUUGGCAGACCCAGCCUGGCUUGAUGCUGCGCAUGCGCUGGACAAACAGCAGGCACAGGGCACAAGGGUCGAGAGUAAACUCCGCCCUCACCUGCGGCUGUUGUGACCACCUGCCACCUCCUGGCCUCCCAGACCUCGUCUACAUCCGAUGCCUCAUUAUAGAUACAGAAUGGUUUUUUUAGAAAAUUGGAAAGUUGAUCAGACUUUUAAAAUAUCACAAAGGAGUCUUAAUGUGGCGUUUAAGAUAAUUCCUUUCAAUAUUUAUUUUCUAAAUAUCCCAGCCACAGACCUGAAGAGUUUAUAUCCCAGUAGGAAAGGCUGGGUAUAGGGUGCAUAGAAUUUCCCCAUACAUCUAUUUCUUUUGCAAUUUCUUGUGAAUCUAUCAUUGUUUCAAAAUAAACUGAAAAAAAUGACAUGGGUCUGAAUCAAACCAAGAGAAUCUAAAAACUGUUUCUAUUUUUAGUCAUCUAAGGACGGGAAAAGGGAAAAAGAGGUCUACGGUCCUGUAGCUCCUUCCAGGCUUUAGAAGCAUAAUGGAAUUGGACCAUUUUUGCCCUGUAGAAAUGUACUUAUCAUGAAAAAAAAGGAAAGUCUUAAGUCCUUGAUACUUCAGAAGAACAUCCAUAGACUCCCCCAUUUGUACACUAGGUCAACCAACAUUUAACAUCACUUCUGUGGUUCAAAUAUGGUGCUCUUGUUAUAACAGCAGACUGAUAUUGUCAAGACAUCACAGGACAAAUGAGCACUGGCCCAGCUUACUAUGCUCAUUUUAACAAGUACAGUCAGCAAGGAUCAGGAAAACCAAUCAUGUAUAUGAUUUAAAUGAUCUAAAUAAAAAAUAGUGAAAAAUA
Molecule: long non-coding RNA, 1804 nt
Filed under: Homo sapiens (human)
Lineage: Eukaryota; Metazoa; Chordata; Mammalia; Primates; Hominidae
Description: HSALNT0350481
Source: RNAcentral